RNAcentral lists this ribosomal RNA (253 nucleotides) under uncultured bacterium. Its description in RNAcentral is "partial 16S ribosomal RNA". It matches the Rfam family "Bacterial small subunit ribosomal RNA", at positions 524 to 776 of the family's 1533-position model. The record is from RNAcentral.
GACAGAGGGGGCAAGCGUUGCUCGGAAUCACUGGGCGUAAAGGGCGCGUAGGCGGGAUGGCAAGUCAGUCGUGAAAUCUCUCGGCUCAACCGAGAAACGUCGGCUGAUACUGCCGUUCUUGAGGGAUGCAGAGGAGACUGGAAUUCCCGGUGUAGCGGUGAAAUGUGUAGAGAUCGGGAGGAACACCGGUGGCGAAGGCGGGUCUCUGGGCAUCUCCUGACGCUGAGACGCGAAAGCUAGGGGAGCGAACAGG